RNAcentral lists this ribosomal RNA (359 nucleotides) under uncultured bacterium. RNAcentral describes it as "partial 16S ribosomal RNA". It matches the Rfam family "Bacterial small subunit ribosomal RNA", at positions 355 to 706 of the family's 1533-position model. The record is from RNAcentral.
UGGGGAAUAUUGCACAAUGGGCGCAAGCCUGAUGCAGCCAUGCCGCGUGUAUGAAGAAGGCCUUCGGGUUGUAAAGUACUUUCAGCGGGGAGGAAGGUGUUGAGGCUAAUAACCUCAGCAAUUGACGUUACCCGCAGAAGAAGCACCGGCUAACUCCGUGCCAGCAGCCGCGGUAAUACGGAGGGUGCAAGCGUUAAUCGGAAUUACUGGGCGUAAAGCGCACGCAGGCGGUCUGUCAAGUCGGAUGUGAAAGCCCCGGGCUCAACCUGGGAACUGCAUGCGAAACUGGAAGGCUAGAGUCUUGUAGAGGGGGGUAGAAUUCCAGGUGUAGCGGUGAAAUGCGUAGAGAUCUGGAGGAA